GCCUCGGUAGUGUGGUGGUUAGAGCCCGCGUCCCCGCAUAGGAUGAAAACGCGGGUCCGAUUCCUGUCUGAGGCC
Non-coding RNA from Parelaphostrongylus tenuis, 75 nucleotides. The record is from the annotation of a GenBank genome assembly. Lineage: Eukaryota; Metazoa; Nematoda; Chromadorea; Rhabditida; Metastrongylidae.